GACGAACGCUGGCGGCGUGCCUAAUACAUGCAAGUCGAGCGAACCAAUAGGAGCUUGCUCCUGUUGGUUAGCGGCGGACGGGUGAGUAACACGUGGGCAACCUGCCUGUAAGACUGGGAUAACACCGGGAAACCGGUGCUAAUACCGGAUAAUCUUUUUCCUCUCAUGAGGAAAAAAUGAAGGUCGGUUUCGGCUGACACUUACAGAUGGGCCCGCGGCGCAUUAGCUAGUUGGUGAGGUAACGGCUCACCAAGGCGACGAUGCGUAGCCGACCUGAGAGGGUGAUCGGCCACACUGGGACUGAGACACGGCCCAGACUCCUACGGGAGGCAGCAGUAGGGAAUCUUCCACAAUGGACGAAAGUCUGAUGGAGCAACGCCGCGUGAGCGAUGAAGGCCUUCGGGUCGUAAAGCUCUGUUGUUAGGGAAGAACAAGUACCGGAGUAACUGCCGGUGCCUUGACGGUACCUAACCAGAAAGCCACGGCUAACUACGUGCCAGCCGCCGCAGUAA
Molecule: ribosomal RNA, 512 nt
Filed under: uncultured bacterium
Lineage: Bacteria
Description: partial 16S ribosomal RNA
Rfam family: Bacterial small subunit ribosomal RNA
Source: RNAcentral